RNAcentral lists this ribosomal RNA (713 nucleotides) under Gordonia sp. H19. RNAcentral's name for it is "bacterial SSU rRNA". It matches the Rfam family "Bacterial small subunit ribosomal RNA", at positions 119 to 844 of the family's 1533-position model. Lineage: Bacteria; Bacillati; Actinomycetota; Actinomycetes; Mycobacteriales; Gordoniaceae. The record is from RNAcentral.
GGGUGAUCUGCCCUGAACUUUGGGAUAAGCCUGGCAUUCUGGGUCUAAUACCGGAUAUGACCUUGGAGUGCAUGCUCUGGGGUGGAAAGCUUUUGCGGUUCAGGAUGGGCCCGCGGCCUAUCAGCUUGUUGGUGGGGUAAUGGCCUACCAAGGCGACGACGGGUAGCCGACCUGAGAGGGUGAUCGGCCACACUGGGACUGAGACACGGCCCAGACUCCUACGGGAGGCAGCAGUGGGGAAUAUUGCACAAUGGGCGCAAGCCUGAUGCAGCGACGCCGCGUGAGGGAUGACGGCCUUCGGGUUGUAAACCUCUUUCACCAGGGACGAAGCGCAAGUGACGGUACCUGGAGAAGAAGCACCGGCCAACUACGUGCCAGCAGCCGCGGUAAUACGUAGGGUGCGAGCGUUGUCCGGAAUUACUGGGCGUAAAGAGCUCGUAGGCGGUUUGUCGCGUCGUCUGUGAAAUUCUGCAACUCAAUUGUAGGCGUGCAGGCGAUACGGGCAGACUUGAGUACUACAGGGGAGACUGGAAUUCCUGGUGUAGCGGUGAAAUGCGCAGAUAUCAGGAGGAACACCGGUGGCGAAGGCGGGUCUCUGGGUAGUAACUGACGCUGAGGAGCGAAAGCGUGGGUAGCGAACAGGAUUAGAUACCCUGGUAGUCCACGCCGUAAACGGUGGGUACUAGGUGUGGGGCUCAUUUCACGAGUUCCGU